This 555-nucleotide ribosomal RNA is filed under the name Renatobasidium notabile. RNAcentral's name for it is "partial large subunit ribosomal RNA". It matches the Rfam family "Eukaryotic large subunit ribosomal RNA", at positions 71 to 630 of the family's 3401-position model. The record is from RNAcentral. Lineage: Eukaryota; Fungi; Basidiomycota; Agaricomycetes; Auriculariales.
AGGAUUCCCCUAGUAACGGCGAGUGAAGAGGGAAAAGCUCAAAUUUGUAAUCUGGCGGUCUUUGGCCGUCCGAGUUGUAAUUUGGAGAGGCGUUUUCCGCGUCGGACCACGUACAAGUCCCCUGGAACGGGGCGUCGUAGAGGGUGAGAAUCCCGUUCACGACGUGGACUACCGAGGCUAUGUGAUGCGCCCUCGAAGAGUCGAGUUGUUUGAGAAUGCAGCUCAAAAUGGGUGGUAAAUUCCAUCUAAAGCUAAAUACUGGCGAGAGACCGAUAGCGAACAAGUACCGUGAGGGAAAGAUGAAAAGAACUUUGGAAAGAGAGUUAAACAGUACGUGAAAUUGCUGAAAGGGAAACGCUUGGAGUCAGUCGCUUUGUCGAGAAUUCAGCCGUGCUUCUGUGCGGUGUACUUUCUAGAUGAGGGGCCAGCAUCGAUUUUGGUUGCGGGAAAACGGCGCGAGGAAUGUGGCACCUCCGGGUGUGUUAUAGCCUUGCGUCACGACCGGGGCUGGGAUUGAGGACCGCAGCGCCCGCAAGGGUGGGUUAGGAUGCUGGC